CACACUUCCUAAUCCUAUCUCGAAAUUCUCUCUCUCUUUUCGGAUCAAUUGACCAACGCCUCCUUGAUAUUCGCAGUCGUGGUGCAUGCAGAUCGCCGAGCCCUUUUGCAACGGCGGAUACAUAAUCCGAGGGUUCGAAAUUCCAAGGAUCGGCCGCACAAAAGCUCACAGGUCAAAGUCGACGCGUGCGCACUGGGGCUGUAGUGGUCGGCUUCGCGGAGGAGUCACUGGCGCGCGGCCUCUGUCUCUGCUCUUGUCAAAGGGGUUCAUGCUCACGCUGGCCCUUCGUGUGUGUCUUUAUGAGUGACUGGUUUAACCGCGGGUUGAAAAAGGGCUCUGGGCGAUGACGUGGCGGGGAAGGGCGUGGUGAGCCAAGGAAGGAAGGAGAGCCCGAAAGACCAUCAACACCAACCGAGGUGGUAUCGACCGAGUGCUCGGAGAUCCCCCUACUCGAGGGCCUAUGUGUGCCUGAAUCUGGCAUUAUAAGCAUACUAUCGUAAUUCCGGAGAAGUAGAACCGGAUCCAUUGGACAAGCCGACUGGGAACAGCCUCAGAGUCCAGCAAAAGAAGAUGGAGUCCGUUCGCAACGACAAUUACCAGGGCUACAGCAUGGAGCAGCAACAGCAGCAGCAACAGCAGCAGCAACAGCAAGGGCAAUUCUAUAUAGACCCUGCACAGCAGCAAGGGGGGAUGAGGGCCGGUGGUCCCCCUGUAAUUGGUGGCACUUCGAGGCCCUUCGUAGACCCUGAAGCUCAUGGCGAGGUCGAUCCCACAGCCUAUCCCGAGCCCAAGGAAUCGACCCACAAAAUCCGCGGCCGCUCUGAUCUCAUUGACAUGUUCUGCAACAAUGUCAACCAAGAGCUCCUGUUCGCCAAGACGUUCUACUUCUUCUUCUUCUCCGCCUUCGGUUCCCUCUUCCCGCUCAUGGCCGUGUACUUCAAGCAGAUGGGCAUGAACCCCCUCCAGACCGGCUUCCUCAUCGGCAUCAGGCCCUUCGUGGAAUUCAUCGCAGCUCCCUUCUGGGGCUCCAUCGCUGACAGGUUCCAGAGAGGAAAGCUGAUGUUGCUGUGCUCUGUCAGUGCAUGGAUUAUAUUCACACUUGCCAUAGGUUUCGUCCAGCCUCCAGCAACAUCCUGUGUAGUGUUCAAUGGUACCCAUCAUAUCCUUAAAGAAGCCUAUGCCACUCCUGUCAAGAAACGCAGCAUCAGCAUGGAGGACUAUGCCAUUGAGUCCACCGAGAGCAUGCCCAAGGAGCCGAAAGGAGCGCUCAUAACCGAUCUUCCUGUCAUGCCCCACCUCUUCCACAAGCGGUCCAUCGACGGCAUGAACUAUUACGGCACGGGGUUCGAGGAGACUUCCCUCAACUUCUACUCGCAGCCGCUGUCGAGGAGCAAGCGGGACACGCCCCUCCCACCGGAUCACGUGAUCGGGAAGUCGCCGCACGUUGUUCACUACACCCUGAACUUCAAAGAAUUCAAAGGGACAGAAGACUGGCUCUCCCCUCCCUUCUCUAGCAUCGUCUACAGAUCGACUGACGUGCAAAAGGUCUUCUUCCUCUUGCUCCUGGUUGUCAUUCUUGGGGAAUUCUUCAGCUGUCCUGCCAUCACUCUGGCUGACUCUGCGGUGUUGACGUACUUGGGAGACGAGGCAGAUCACUAUGGACGACAGAGAAUGUUCGGUUCCUUGGGAUGGGGCUUGGCUAUGUUCUUCGUGGGCAUUGCUCUCGACCACUCCACUGCCUUCCCAGGACAUCCCUGUGGACCCCAUGAGAAGGAGCGGAAUUACACCAUAUGCUUUGCUGUGUUCAGCGUUCUCAUGGGUUGUGCACUGAUAACAGCUUCGCAGUUCAAGUUCUACUACUCAGAAGCGUCCAAUGACAUGACCUUGGAGGAGGUGAAGGAGCCAGUGGACAAUGGACCAAGACCCUGGAAUGAGCCCAAGAUACCAAUGCAGGAGCAGAAGUCACAGAGGCAGAAGAUUGAUGAAGCUAUCGGAACAAUCAAAACCAAGAUCUUUGCUCAGACAAUGAAGGAAAUGCCUGAGUGGUUUGUCGUCUUGCGAGAGUUUAAAAACCUUCGCUGCGGCGCCUUCCUAUUCGUAGCCUGGUGGAUGGGCUUUGGCAUUGGGCUGAUCUUUGCUUUCCUUUUCUGGCACUUGCAGGACUAUGGUGGUACCCCAACUGUAUUUGGUAUUGCUAGUAUCAUCAACCAUAUAUCAGAAAUCUUUGCUUACUUCUUCAGCUUCCGACUCAUCUCACAGAUAGGGCACGUAAAGGUGUUGUGUAUUGGGUUGACAGGCAACGUUAUUCGCUUCAUGUACAUUUCCUGGAUCAAGAACCCAUGGUGGGUCUUGCCUUUCGAAUUUAUUCAAGGUAUUACUCAUGCUGCUGUGUGGGCUGCCUGCUGCUCCUACAUUGCACACAACACUCCAUCUCAUCUCCGAGCCUCUUCUCAAGGAGUACUCCAGGGCAUCCAUCAUGGCUUUGGCAGAGGAUGUGGUGCUAUCGUUGGAGGAAUCUUUGUCAGUUACUUUGGUACUGCAGUUGUGUUCCGUUCAUAUGGUGUGGUGUCCUUGAUUGUCUUGGGACUUUUCAUCUUUAUCAACUUCUACCGCAAAGACGUAGGCUUCCAGCCUGAUCUGCCUCCAGAGGAGGACCCAAGGCAGAUGGCGGAAGAAGGAACAGCCCUUGCUCCCCAUGGUGUACCAGCAAAUCCGAUGCCAAGGGCAUUAAGUUCACAAAAGUUGAAUGAGGGAGCACCAGAUGCUGGUUAUGGGACUUACAAUGCAACCAAUGGAAUGCUUGACAUACCAGGUGGUGGAGGUGCUAGCACAAAUCCAUUCAUGCAAGGAGGUGGAGGUGAGGGUGGCGGGGGUGGUGGUGGCUAUAACUACAGCACCAAGCCCGUUCCUCCAGUGUUCUCUGAGACCAAUCCCUUCAGGAGUUACUUUGCACCCACCAGCCCCUUCCAGAAGAAAGAUUCGCCAGUCACUUCUCCUGAUCUCAGUCCAGAUUAUGAAAGCAUCAAACAAAGAUUCCAAGCAUACAAUGAUUUGCUGAACGGAAGCAAUAAUGGCAAAGGAGACACCAAGAUGUUCAAGGCGGCUCCUGCCAUAACCUCACCUCACAAGCCACAACCAGAGGCAACUGCUCAUGACUAUGAAUGGUAGAUACUCAGCUGUCAAAUGAAUAUUUUGCAAUGCUCUUGCUAUGAGAUAAGAAGUUCGUUUUUGAAUUGACCUGAAUUGAACUGUGUUGAUGAUGGUGUCAUCUGCAAAAGAGAAAAAAGUCAGACAUGUCUGUGAAUCACAGAAUUUUGAAAGGCUGUUCACAGUUAGUAACAAAUGAUAGCUUCCACAACUGAAAUCUUUAGACCCAUCGUACUCAUUUGGUAUUGUAUGUAUUGUAAAAUAUUUCUAACAUUAGAGAAUAUUGCUUUAUCAUAGGGCAUAUAUAGCAGACCAAAUAGUUUUAUAACAAUCAGUCAAAGAAGCCACCCAACCACUGACACACUUUUUUUUACAUAUUUUCAUUAUUCAACUUCUUUAGCUGGUAAAACUGCCUUCAUGCACGAUGAGUCAUUGAGUCAUCACCGUGCUGUGUUACAGAGUAUCAUCAGAAUUGCGGAUUCAUGUCCAUUGUGUAAUCACAGGCAUUGUUGUUGUAGCAGAACCACCCACAAAGUGCAUCCUGAUAGGUAGCAAUCUAUACAUAAUCAUUUCACUGUAAAUAUGUUGAUGUCAGCAACCAUCACUGUUGCAGUGUUGCAUCACCACAUAUAGUUGUAUCUGCACACACCCUGUAAGACAUGUAGGCCAGUUCUUUAGUUAAAAUAAUGCAUAGAUGAUAACAUUUGAAUUUUGCCUUAUCAAGUACUUGAAUAGAAGAUACAAGAGAUAUCAAGUGGCUGCUGCUAAUUAUUAACAUGAACCAUAUGUU
Molecule: unclassified non-coding RNA, 3937 nt
Filed under: Penaeus japonicus
Lineage: Eukaryota; Metazoa; Arthropoda; Malacostraca; Decapoda; Penaeidae
Description: major facilitator superfamily domain-containing protein 6-like, transcript variant X3
Source: RNAcentral